Long non-coding RNA from Ceratina calcarata, 283 nucleotides. RefSeq lists it as uncharacterized. The record is from RefSeq and is a predicted model, not a curated record. Lineage: Eukaryota; Metazoa; Arthropoda; Insecta; Hymenoptera; Apidae. The transcript has 2 exons.
GCCAUGUUUCCAGUCUCUGUCUUGUACAGGAACAUACAGGAAACAGGGACUUGAGCAAAUGCUUAAGGCGAUCUUAAAUAUAAGUAACGACUCUGAAUCUGAACUCCGGCCAUAGUGACCUUCCAGGGUCAUUAUAAUUACAGCAACUACUUACCAACCCGUCCUCGGUGCGUAUGUCGAUGUUCGUCUUUGAAGCGUUCAGGACCACCAUCAGCCUCUUCACUCGCCUAAAAUCGUCGUUCAUGACUGCUCUGUGAAUAUUAAAAAAUCCGUCAUCGUCCCA